Molecule: ribosomal RNA, 481 nt
Filed under: uncultured bacterium
Lineage: Bacteria
Description: partial 16S ribosomal RNA
Rfam family: Bacterial small subunit ribosomal RNA
Source: RNAcentral
GACGAACGCUGGCGGCGUGCUUAACACAUGCAAGUCGAACGGGAUCCGGGCUUUCGGGUUUGGUGAGAGUGGCGAACGGGUGAGUAACACGUGAGUAACCUGCCCCCUUCUUUGGGAUAACGUUGGGAAAUCGGCGCUAAUACUGGAUAUUCUUGCUGCAUCGCAUGGUGUGGUUUGGAAAGGGUUUCUGGUGGGGGAUGGGCUCGCGGCCUAUCAGCUUGUUGGUGGGGUGAUGGCCUACCAAGGCUUUGACGGGUAGCCGGCCUGAGAGGGUGUCCGGCCACACUGGGACUGAGACACGGCCCAGACUCCUACGGGAGGCAGCAGUGGGGAAUAUUGCACAAUGGGCGCAAGCCUGAUGCAGCGACGCCGCGUGAGGGAUGACGGCCUUCGGGUUGUAAACCUCUUUCAGUAUGGAACAAGGAUCCUUCUUUUGGGGGGUUUGAGGGUACGUGCAGAAGAAGCGCCGGCUAACUACGUG